Molecule: ribosomal RNA, 510 nt
Filed under: uncultured bacterium
Lineage: Bacteria
Description: partial 16S ribosomal RNA
Rfam family: Bacterial small subunit ribosomal RNA
Source: RNAcentral
GACGAACGCUGGCGGCGUGCUUAACACAUGCAAGUCGAACGAAGAGCGAUGGAAGCUUGCUUCUGUCAAUCUUAGUGGCGAACGGGUGAGUCACGCGUAAUCAACCUGCCCUUCAGAGGGGGACAACAGUUGGAAACGACUGCUAAUACCGCAUACGAUCUAAUCUCGGCAUCGAGGAUAGAUGAAAGGUGGCCUCUACAUGUAAGCUAUCACUGAAGGAGGGGAUUGCGUCUGAUUAGCUAGUUGGAGGGGUAACGGCGCACCAAGGCGAGGAUCAGUAGCCGGAAGGAGAGGAUGGGUAGCCGCAUUGGGAGGGUGACAGGGCACAGAGGGCUACGGGAGGCAGCAGUGGGGAAUCUUGCGCCAUGGGCGAGAGUCUGACCGCGCAACGCCGAAUGAGGGAGGAGCGCCGUCGGGUUGGAGAGGUCGGUUUUUCGGGAGGAAAGGGCUUCUGGCUGAGAGGGAGCAGGAUUGACGGUAACGGAAAAGGAAGCAACGGCUAACUACGUG